Molossus molossus (Pallas's mastiff bat) is the source of this 107-nucleotide small nuclear RNA. NCBI's taxonomy places the organism in Eukaryota, Metazoa, Chordata, Mammalia, Chiroptera, Molossidae. The record is from RefSeq and is a predicted model, not a curated record.
GUGCUCGGUUCCGCAGCACGUAUACUAAAAUUGGAAUGAUACAAAGAAGAUUAGCAUGGCCCCUGUGCAAGGAUGACAAGCAAAUUAGUGAAGUGUUCCAUAUUUCU